This 725-nucleotide ribosomal RNA is filed under the name Escherichia coli. RNAcentral describes it as "bacterial SSU rRNA". It matches the Rfam family "Bacterial small subunit ribosomal RNA", at positions 820 to 1533 of the family's 1533-position model. Lineage: Bacteria; Pseudomonadati; Pseudomonadota; Gammaproteobacteria; Enterobacterales; Enterobacteriaceae. The record is from RNAcentral.
GAGGUUGUGCCCUUGAGGCGUGGCUUCCGGAGCUAACGCGUUAAGUCGACCGCCUGGGGAGUACGGCCGCAAGGUUAAAACUCAAAUGAAUUGACGGGGGCCCGCACAAGCGGUGGAGCAUGUGGUUUAAUUCGAUGCAACGCGAAGAACCUUACCUGGUCUUGACAUCCACAGAACCUUGUAGAGAUACGAGGGUGCCUUCGGGAACUGUGAGACAGGUGCUGCAUGGCUGUCGUCAGCUCGUGUUGUGAAAUGUUGGGUUAAGUCCCGCAACGAGCGCAACCCUUAUCCUUUGUUGCCAGCGGUCCGGCCGGGAACUCAAAGGAGACUGCCAGUGAUAAACUGGAGGAAGGUGGGGAUGACGUCAAGUCAUCAUGGCCCUUACGACCAGGGCUACACACGUGCUACAAUGGCGCAUACAAAGAGAAGCGACCUCGCGAGAGCAAGCGGACCUCAUAAAGUGCGUCGUAGUCCGGAUUGGAGUCUGCAACUCGACUCCAUGAAGUCGGAAUCGCUAGUAAUCGUGGAUCAGAAUGCCACGGUGAAUACGUUCCCGGGCCUUGUACACACCGCCCGUCACACCAUGGGAGUGGGUUGCAAAAGAAGUAGGUAGCUUAACCUUCGGGAGGGCGCUUACCACUUUGUGAUUCAUGACUGGGGUGAAGUCGUAACAAGGUAACCGUAGGGGAACCUGCGGUUGGAUCACCUCCUUACCUUAAAGAAGC